GAUGAACGCUAGCUACAGGCUUAACACAUGCAAGUCGAGGGGAAACGGCAUCGAAAGCUUGCUUUUGAUGGGCGUCGACCGGCGCACGGGUGAGUAACGCGUAUCCAACCUGCCCAUCACUUGGGAAUAACCUUGCGAAAGUAAGACUAAUGCCCAAUGACAUCCCACGAAGGCAUCCGAAUGGGAUUAAAGAUUUAUCGGUGAUGGAUGGGGAUGCGUCUGAUUAGCUUGUUGGCGGGGUGACGGCCCACCAAGGCAACGAUCAGUAGGGGUUCUGAGAGGAAGGUCCCCCACAUUGGAACUGAGACACGGUCCAAACUCCUACGGGAGGCAGCAGUGAGGAAUAUUGGUCAAUGGGCGAGAGCCUGAACCAGCCAAGUAGCGUGCAGGAUGACGGCCCUAUGGGUUAUAAACUGCUUUUAUAAGGGAAUAAAGUGGGUCACGUGUGACUUUUUGCAUGUACCUUAUGAAUAAGAACCGGCUAAUUCCGUG
This 492-nucleotide ribosomal RNA is filed under the name uncultured bacterium. Its description in RNAcentral is "partial 16S ribosomal RNA". It matches the Rfam family "Bacterial small subunit ribosomal RNA", at positions 28 to 507 of the family's 1533-position model. The record is from RNAcentral.